CGCCCGCGUUUCCUCGCGACUUUUGGUCCCUCCCUCCCGCCGUCCUUCUUGCCCCGCCUCCCCCGCCCUCCGGGUUGUCAGGGCAACCCGAGCGACGCCUGCCCCGGAGGAGAGGCGUUAGGAAGGGCAGCGGCGGCGGCGCCGGGGCUCGGCCCGUGGGGGCCCAGGAGCAUCUGACCAUGGAGCCCCAGACAAUCACACCAUCCUCAAGGCCUCAUCCACCUGUUGUGGGCAAAGUGACUCAUCAUAGCAUUGAAUUGUACUGGGAUCUGGAGAAGAAAGCGAAACGCCAGGGUCCUCAGGAGCAGUGGUGCAGGUUCGCAAUCGAAGAGGAAGACCCCAAAAUGCACACUUACAGGAUCAUUUAUACGGGAUAUGCAACCAAGCAUGUUGUGGAAGGUCUGGAACCACGGACACUGUAUAGAUUUCGGCUGAAGGUCACCAGCCCCUCUGGAGAAUAUGAGUACAGCCCAGUGGUCUCGGUAUCUACGACCAGAGAGCCCAUAAGUAGCGAGCACUUUCAUAGGGCUGUCAACGUGAAUGAUGAAGAUUUGCUGGUUCAAAUACUUCAAGGAGGAAAUGUUAAGGUUGAUGUUCCCAAUAAGUUUGGCUUUACGGCUCUGAUGGUUGCUGCCCAGAAAGGAUUCACCAGGCUUGUUAAAAUCCUCGUUUCUAAUGGCACUGACGUGAAUCUGAAGAAUGGAAGUGGCAAGGACAGUCUAAUGCUUGCAUGCUAUGCGGGACACCUAGAGGUUGUGAAAUAUCUCCGAAGACAUGGUGCUUCUUGGGAAACGAGAGACCUCGGAGGCUGUACGGCUCUGCACUGGGCUGCAGAUGGAGGCCACUGCAAUGUGAUUGAGUGGAUGCUAAAGGACGGCUGUGAGGUGGAUGCUGUGGACACUGGCUCAGGGUGGACCCCACUCAUGCGAGUCUCCGCAGUCUCAGGAAACCAGGGGGUCGCCUCUCUGCUAAUUGACGCCGGAGCAGACGUGAAUGUGAGAGAUAAAGAUGGAAAGACCCCUCUAAUGGUGGCCGUGUUAAAUAAUCACGAAGAGUUAGUCCAGUUACUUCUUGACAAAGGGGCAGACGCAAGUGUAAAAAAUGAGUUUGGCAAAGGUGUCCUAGAAAUGGCCAGAGUUUUUGACAGACAGAAUGUGGUCUGCUUAUUAGAAGAAAGGAAAAAAAAGCAAAUGCCAAGGAAGUCGUCUCUCCGCACACCUGGGCACCACUCACCGCCAAGCCAAGUGAGACAAAGCAGAAGACCGGCUGUGACUCACAUGGCGGCUGUUCCAUCAGUCCAGGCCCCCAAGAGGAACCAAAGCUCACCCAGAUUGGAUGUGAUGUGCCCCAUCUCAGACUCUCUGAAUUGGAAUCUCCAGGGAAAGGACACGAGCAAUGGAUUUUAAUCAACAUCCCAGUUCUUUAUGAAGUUGGAUGCUAUUUUAAAAAAAAAUGUGUAAAUAGAUUUCCAUUACACUCAGAUUAUUAUUCCAGAGCCUGAGAUGAACUCUCUACCCAGCAGCAGUAGGUGCAGAAAAACUCCCCUGGUGCUUCUGAAGUGGCUUAUAAUACGCAGACGUGUGCUGAUCUAGCUGACCUCCCACUGAAGUGCAUGUUCUGCGUGGAUUGCAAACCUAAUAUACAAGUUAGGGCAGAUUCAACGCCAGGCACAGCGAAGACAUUCUACAACGCUCCCUGCCUGUGUGCACAAUUGUAGGUGGUCACACACGCCUGUGGGCUCUUACUCUUUUCAUCCCUUUACCAUCCUUUUCUUAGCCCCCACUUUGCCUUUCAUGCUCAGGUUGUGGUUCAGGAGAGCUUGGCAGCAGUCAGCUACCAGCUAGAUGCAUACACUGAAUUAUUUUCCUCUAAAAUAGCUGACGAGAUGAAGAGGAAAUUAAAGUUUGUUUCCUUGAUCAAGGCUGAGGAGUUGGGUCAAGAAGCUUGAAUUCUGAGGGUCAUUUUACUGUGAAGGAAAUGGUGCAUUGGAAAGCACACUGUGGACGAGAGGAGGAGUUGAGGGAACUGUCCUUGGAUUUUAAAAAUCAAAGUUUCAAGGAAAGACCAAACAUGUUCUGUAAAGAACUAACUUACCUUUUAGAUGCGAGGUUGACCAAUAUCGUGUUUACAAUAGUGUUUUCCUUCUGGGAGGUUGAGAUGGUAAGUUUGUGUGUUUGUCACGCUGUGUGGGACAGGGCAGGGGACUCAACAGCACAGGAUGUCAGUGGACUCGAUCUGUGCUGCCAAACAAGAGCCACCGCCACAUAUUUGCCACACCUGCAUGGAAUUAAUUCCAGUUCCCUAUGUGUGAUGUGAGAGAAAGCGCGAGCUUAAUCCAUAUCAUAUGUCUCGGAAAAGCUCCAGACAGACACCAGCCUGGAGUGAGAAAUGUGGAUUUUUCAGUUACUAAUGUUUAAAGGGUAACAUUUCCUUAGUUUCAUAAAACAGAAUGAAGGCCUUUUUGGGGCCUGCUUUAAAGGAAAUCUUGAAGCAGUCACUUCUAUAGGCAUUCACGGCUGGUAGGAAAAAAGAUACCAGCAAAUAGAAAUGGCUUUCCUCAGAUCACUUGGUCUGUCAGAGACAGUCCCAGUUUGACAUGGUACCCAGGCAAGUUGUUUAGAGGGAGACAGAAAGAGCCUCAGUGUAAAGAAACCCAUGGGGAAGGGGCUUACAGGCUCUGUGCACAUCUGAAAUUUGCAUGCAAAUUACUGAGUACUGGUGCAUUUUCUGAGGGUUCGUAGCUUUCAUCAGAUUCUCAAAUAAGUUCAUAGCCAAGAAAAAUUUAGGACAUGCCCACCACCUUCCAGCAAUGUAAAUCCAAGGCAGGUUAGAAAACAUAUGUAAAAGAUGGAAUUGUCAGCAGCUAACCAAAUAAACAGAAGGAAUUAUAGGUGGAUCUUAACUGAAACUGAAACAGGAGAGGACUUUACAAGCACAAAAGGAAUGGGAGAAUUCACAAAAGAAAAGAUAAACAGAUUUAAUAUUUAAAACUGGAAUUCCUUUUAUACCAAAAAAUGUCAUGAGUAAAAAGACCAUUUAGGGAAAACGUUUACAAUAAAUUACCGGAAAAGAGUAAAUAUUCUUAAUCUAUUAAGAAAAUAAACUCUUACAAACCAGGAAGAAAAACUCCAUCUCUCAAAUAGAAAAAAAUAGGCAAAUAGGAACAGAUGAUUCACAGAACAUAUACGGUUGAUAGCAGCUGUGCGCUGGAGCUGGCUGGUACUAGCUCACCUCAGCCAAUUCUCUGUUCCUCGUUCAGUGACAUCACGUUAACGGCUUGCACUUGGCCAUGGUGGGAGUUGUUACAGCAGAGAAAUCAUCUACAAAUCAAGGCUUUUUCUUGACUGCCAAUUUACCAGCAAACCAUUGGUUAAUAGAUGUAUAAAAAGCAGUUCAAGUGUACCAGUAAUCAAAGAAAUACAAAAAGAAAUGAGGUCUGGACAAGAUGGAAUAAGCACAUUUCACCCUAUUUCUCCUGCAAAUUACAAUAAAAAAAAUCUGCAGACAAUUCAUAAAGCAACUGACAGAGCCUCUGAAAGUUGGAGAAAACGUAAGUAGACUGGCUAGGGACCUCAGAAUUCAAGGAAUUACCCAGUAGUUCUUGUUUUUUUUUUUUUUUUUUUCACUUUUGUCUUUUCUAUAUCUUGGUCUGGGCUCUGGAGAGGCCUCCAAUCUGGAAAUGCCAGUGGCACCAGACAAACAAAGGCCCAAGAAUAACCCUCUUAUCUCUAGCCAAAAGAUGGGAACAAGGGCAACUAGUAAGAGAGAAACAUUUGACCCCACCUGACCUUACUCCAGCUCAGGUGAACACCAGAAGAAUGCCACGCCCCUGCCCCUGCUCCCUGGGCAUCACUGCCUUGCGGUGAUAGAGCCCUGCCUUCCAUCCUCCCUUGCAAUAACAGGCCACACCCUGGAACAGACUGUGGCAGGACUUCCAGUGUGGGCAGUGAUUUCUUAUCGCUAUGGAGUCCAGGAGGAAGUGGAACAUUUUUCAGUCAUUGAAAGAAGAAUACAGUCAAGCCAGAAUUCUAUAUCCAGUGAAAAUAUCCUUUAGGAAGAAAGGUAAAACAGACAUUUUCAGAUGAAAGAAAACUAAGAGAAUUUGUCACCAGCAGACCUGCUUUAACAGAAUAGCCAAAGGAAACUUUUCAGACAGAAAGGAAAUGAUAACAGAAAGGGUGAAUAUUUGAGUAGAUGUAAUAGGCUGUUCUUAAAUUUUCAAAAUUUUGCUUGAUGGUUGAAAGCAAAAAUUACAACAUCUGAAGUGGUUCUCAAUGUACAUAAAGGUAACAUUUAAGACAUCUACAUCAUAAAGGGAGAAGCAUAAAGGGACCUAAAAGAUGGUAAAAUUUUCACAUUCCACUUGAAGUGAUAAAAUAUUGAUACUAGUGGACUGUGAUGAAUUGUGCACAUAUAUUGUAAUCUUUAGAGCAGCAGUUUUCAAUCAGGGGAUUUUUGUCCUCCAGGGACAUCUGGCAAUAUUUAGAGACAUGAUCACACAUGCUACUGCCAUCUAGUUGGUAGAAACCAAGAUGCUGCUAAAUGUUCUUAUGCAGGACAAUCUCAUAUAAGAAAGAGUUAUCCAGCCCCAAAUGUCAACAAUGCCAAGAUUGAGAAGCCUUGCCCCAGAGCAACCAUAUAAAAAACAAUACAAAGGCAGACACUCAAAAACACAAUAGAUAACUCAAUAAGGAAUACUAAAGAAUGUUCAACAACCCAGAGAAAAGCCAGCCCUGGUGGUCUAAUGUUUAAGAUUUGGCACUCUCACUGCUGUGGCCUGGGUUUGUUUCCCAGUCAGGGAACCACACCAACUGGCUGUCAGGUGU
Equus quagga is the source of this 4826-nucleotide RNA transcript. It is a transcript of the gene named fibronectin type III and ankyrin repeat domains 1, with no coding region annotated. NCBI's taxonomy places the organism in Eukaryota, Metazoa, Chordata, Mammalia, Perissodactyla, Equidae. The record is from RefSeq and is a predicted model, not a curated record. The transcript is spliced from 15 exons.